This 238-nucleotide ribosomal RNA is filed under the name uncultured bacterium. RNAcentral's name for it is "partial 16S ribosomal RNA". It matches the Rfam family "Bacterial small subunit ribosomal RNA", at positions 96 to 334 of the family's 1533-position model. The record is from RNAcentral.
UGGCGAACGGGUGAGUAACACGUGAGCAACCUGCCCCCUGGCUCUGGGAUAACUCCGGGAAACCGGAGCUAAUACCGGAUAUGACUCGUGGCCGCAUGGUCUGCGGGUGGAAAGUUUUUCGGCUGGGGAUGGGCUCGCGGCCUAUCAGCUUGUUGGUGGGGUAAUGGCCUACCAAGGCGACGACGGGUAGCCGGCCUGAGAGGGCGACCGGCCACACUGGGACUGAGACACGGCCCAG